Podarcis lilfordi (Lilford's wall lizard) is the source of this 1598-nucleotide non-coding RNA. Lineage: Eukaryota; Metazoa; Chordata; Lepidosauria; Squamata; Lacertidae. The record is from the annotation of a GenBank genome assembly.
ACAGUGAGGUCAGAGGGAAAUGAAGUGCACAAAAUAUACAGAUAGAGAUAAUUAUGUAAUUACCGUAAUAGUAGCUAUUUAUAAGCAGUUGUAGCUGUCCUGACAUUGGUAAACUAACUGACACACAUAGUGUGAUUUUUAAAUAAAAGUUGUGUUUCAUUCAAGUGUAUGUAUGGAGGGGGGGACUGUAUGCAUCCAAAACAGAGAUUGUAAUGUAAUCCAUGAAAACGUGUGCCAUAAUAAAUUUGUUGGUCUUUAAAAUGCCGAAGGGCUAUUGUUUUUGCUGCAACAAAUUUAACACAACCACCCCUCUGAGCACAAACCAUAAAGUGACAGAUAUAGCAGCCACAUUAACUUUGAAGGGGUCUGCGAAGGUUCAAACACUGAUGAAAAACAGCACCCUGUCCUUUUGCAAAUUCCAUUUUUUAAGGGCAAAGUUUGCUGAGCAGAUUCCUUUAACAGAAAGAUACUGUCAACCAACAACCUUUAGAAACCUAGUGUCGCUAUCAGCUAGCUCAUUUGAAUAACAAUAGAGCCACUGUUGUAUAGAUGGAAGUUCUGAACAGGCCCUAUAAAUCUGUUUUAGGGUCUUCUCUAACUAGAUGUUGUUUGGAUUACUUUCAAAACGGUUUAAGGCAUUAUGGCCUAAUGGAAACGAGAACACGCACAAGCACUUUAAAAACUUUAUGAUGCUAAGCUACAUGGGAUGGGAUUAUCUCACAAUAAUGUGACUAUCUGCAACUCAACACUUGAUGAACUGUGUAGGGCCACCAUUUGCGAAAGAUGACAACACUGUAAUUGAGCCUCAGUAUGAAGAUUGAUCAUUUGGUCAUGUUCCAUCUAAUGGGCCAAAGAUUGUUGCUGGCUCCACUGUUUAUAAGUAGAGCGUCAGCAGCUUGUCGCUUGGGAGAAGGACGUUUUCCUUGACUAGCAAAUGACGCUUAGACAUUCUAAUAUCAAGAAUUUCAAGGUUGCCCAACUACCUCAUAGAAUGCAUGGGGCUGUGAGAGACAGCAGCAGCCACCCAGUAAGGAUGCCCUGGCCUGUGCGGGAUUAACAUUCUUGCUGCUUAAAAAGCCAGGAGAAUCAACCACAGAAUGGCACUUGCUUGCUUUCAGAAAGUAUGGUAUCUAGCUUUGAUGAAAUGAAAUGAUACACAAAUUGAAAGUCCUCCAGGGGAUUUUAGAAACAGAUGUGUUUAUUUAUCACAUGGUAUUCAUUUAUGACAUAUGUCAACAAAGAAGAACAACACAAUCAACAACCCGCCUCUCAUUUCACUAGAAGUUGGAAUAUAUGACUUUUAUUUUACUCUCUGUAUACUUUUUACAUAUAUGCAUUGCUGAAUUCCCAUAUUAUCCUUCUGACUUUUUUACUGAGGCAACCUUAUCUGUGGUAUUACAUCCAGUCACUGUUCUUGUCAUUCACAUUUUGUCUCCACUGUACAUUUACUCCUUUGUAUCUUAAAUUACUUCAACAUCCCCAUAUGUUGCAUAUUUCUGAGUUGCCAGGGGUUGGACCAGAUGAUCCUCAGGGUCCCUUCCCACUCUACAAUUCUAUGUCGACUUUUUUGGGUUGGGAUGGGGCAUAGGGUUUUAUUU